RNAcentral lists this ribosomal RNA (292 nucleotides) under uncultured prokaryote. Its description in RNAcentral is "partial 16S ribosomal RNA". It matches the Rfam family "Archaeal small subunit ribosomal RNA", at positions 455 to 747 of the family's 1478-position model. The record is from RNAcentral.
GUGUCAGCCGCCGCGGUAAUACCCGCUCCCCGAGUGGUGGGGACGAUUAUUGGGCUUAAAGCGUCCGUAGCCGGCCUAAUAAGUCUCCCGUUAAAUCCAACGGCCUAACCGUUGGACUGCGGGAGAUACUAUUAGGCUAGGGGGCGGGAGAGGCCGGCGGUAUUCCCGGGGUAGGGGUGAAAUCCUAUAAUCCCGGGAGGACCGCCGGUGGCGAAGGCGGCCGGCCAGAACGCGCCCGACGGUGAGGGACGAAAGCUGGGGGAGCGAUCCGGAUUAGAUACCCGGGUAGUCC